This 6220-nucleotide unclassified non-coding RNA is filed under the name Leishmania donovani. RNAcentral describes it as "gene:LdHU3.31.3530(CDS-product:RING-variant_domai n_containing_protein_putative)". Lineage: Eukaryota; Euglenozoa; Kinetoplastea; Trypanosomatida; Trypanosomatidae. The record is from RNAcentral.
GUGAAACCGCCGUGUCCUGCCCCAUCUCCUUCCACCACCCAUACCUAAACGCCCACACUAUUCUGUUUUCUGUUUGGUGUUUUUUUUUCUGGUCGGCGUAUACGGUCUCCCAUCUCCUCUGGUGUUUCUCUCCGUCUCCGUCUCCGCGCCUUCCCUGUGUGCUCUGCAUGCUGUGCCUCACAAAGCAAACACACAUCGAGGGCGCAUAGGUGUGGCACGCGCACGCACCGACUCUUCUCCGUCUGCCCGUCUGAAGCUCAGGCUUUUGGGGGAGCCUCUUUAUUGUUGUUUGCUUGCGUGUCGAUCACCUUCGAUUUCGGGCCGUCGUCGCGGUGACAGGCGCCUUCCAGACUCAGUGCAGCGCGUAAACUCACAAACGUAAGCGAACACGAGGACUUGUGCCCACACCACCACCACCUCUUUCAGCUCAAUCUCCUGUUGCUUUUCUUUUUUUUUCUGUGCUGAUUCCGAGUCGGCGGCGCACUUGCAACGCCACAACCUGCUUUCCCCCGCACUCUUUGUUGAGUUAGAUUGAGAGAAGAGCGUCACACGCUACACAGGUGGCACAUCGAGAUCAGGAAGGGAAAGCUCUGGUACUUGUCUCUUGCGCUGCACCACUCGCCCCUUCUAGCUCGAACGAGCUGACCGUCUUUUCUCCCAUCCGCUGUGCUGCUCUGUCUCUCUGUGUCUUGUGCGUGUAUUCGCCAGUGUGCAGCUGCGGGCUGCUAGCUUCCGUCUCACUUCCAUAUUACCCCCACUGGGGCGUGUCAUCAGCGGCGCAGGCACGCGAGUCUUCAGUUCUUUCAGCUCCUGCCUCGAUCUCAGCGCACACCGAUGACGCAGUUUCACGCGCGUGCGCGUGGGAACGUGGCACCCAUGAGAUCGCGUGUCACUACCGGCAUCACAGCUGCUCUUCUCUCGCUGCUCGUCAUCGCUGCCUGCUUCGUGGCCACUGCAGUUUCUGCCACUCCUCCGGCGGAUGCUGAGGAUAGACAAGGAGCCACGCUGACGCUGCUCGGGAGUGCUACCGUAGCGAAAACGGCGCGACGUCAGACGUCCGUGCUCAGUCGAUUCUGGCUGCACAGCCGUGAAGAGCAGAACGCCUUCACCGAGACCCUCUUUGGGGAGUCGCUCACCAAGGUCAGCAUCGACACAAUUUCUGACAUUGCACGCGAGAUAACUCCACCGGCGGAUCUUAAGCUAGAUGCGAAUCCGCUCGGACCGCUCAGCCGGAGUGCCAUGCUGGCCGCGACUGGUAGCGGGGUGCAACUUGCUGCUAGCCGGUCUCUUCAGGAGCAUUUAACACUGGCCACUCAAGCGGACGCCUCCAAUGGGCAGCUUGUCUCCAAGCUGAGCGUGUUGUAUGCGAUGUCGGUAGCAAGGAUGAAUGAGCCACCGAGCGCGGCCGUCGCGCAGGCUCAAGACCCAGCAGCGAAGAUGUCUGCGCCUCAGCAAAACCACAGAGCCGCAUCUCCCGCCAUUACACAGCCGCUCAAGCCUCUGAAGUCAUCUGCGCAGGCGUCUCCCAUCGAGUCUCUUCGCUCCGGCGCUGCCGGUGUGGACAAGAGCCGUCUGAGGGUGCCCAGCACCGCGUCACGGUGGUUUGCGGCUUUGAAAAGGGGGGCGGAAACGGUUGUGCGUGCGGUUGCCGAGGCCAAAGCCGGUCACAGCGCCAUCAAGGAUGACAGCAGUGCCAAGGUGCUCGCCGCCAAGAAAGGCGCCGCCGCCUUGAUGCGUACAAUGGGAAACUACGUAAAGGAUACGCUAAUUGAUGUGAACAGCACCAGGGCUCUGAUCCCAAUCACCAUCGUCGGCAGCGGCAACACGGUGGUGAAGUUCAACGGAGAAGCCGGCAACAUGAUCGAGGUUGUUGUGCAGCUGAAGGACCAUCGCUACGACAAGUCCGUGAGUAGAGACAACUGUUACGGCAUGUAUUUACAAGUGGAGCUGCGCACUAGCCACAAGUUCGACGGCGGUGCCUACGACUCGAAGGGCACAGCAGCUGUUGUGGCCACGACGCAGGCGCACGAUCACGUUGGCCGAAACACGUGGAUAAGAAUGGAGAGCUCGGCCAAAAACAGCGACAUCGACGACAGCAGCCACCCAAACGUCCCGACGCAGGAGGAGGAAAGCAGCCGCUGGUCCGACUUCUGGGACGCCUUUGCCCCGAUGCUCGACAACAGCGCGAUGUGCAAGGUGCUGCAGAGCGUUUCCAUGCGUGUUGAAAAGGUCCAGGUAACGGAGCCGUACUACAUCAUUCUCCACUCCACCACGAUACCGUCACUUCAAAAACCGCAGAACGGCACGAGCGCGUCCGGGACGCAGGUCAGCAGAUUUGACGACUCACCCUAUACGUGCGAGCUGAAUCUCUUUUUCAACGAGGAGCCGGCGGCAAGGCUGGGGCGGCUGCAGUUCAUCUUCGCCUUUGUCCUGCCGCUGAUCGUGCUCUUUCUGCCGCUGCCCUUCACGAUGCGGAGGGCCGACCUGGUGCAGCAGUACAUGAUGGAAUCCGAUUUUGCGGAAUGGAUAUGGAUGUUGCCGCUGCUGCUGCGCAGUAAAAUGGUUGAAGCGCUGAAAGCGGGAAUCGAGUGGAUUUUGAGUCUCCGCUCCGCCUAUCAACAGCGCGUACUGCGGAAUCAGCUGCUGCGGCAAGAGCAGGCACACCAAGGCACAGUAGCGGCGCAGUCAGCCACCGAGCAGGAGCAGCCGUCACAGCAGCCAGGAGUGCAGCACUUGGGAUGGGGCGCGGCCGCCCCAAUGGAACCGCCGCUGGAGACACCAAACCUCACUGGCUUCCACGCAUCCGCGGCCGCAGAUGCACAGACGGAGCCGUCGCCGCUGCGGCAGCAGCACGAGCCUUGUACCCAAUGCCAGUUCAGCGAGGAGGAAGUCAGCUUCAGCGCGCGCAGCAGUAGGAGCACCUGCUCCACGCCCUCCCGAGCGUCCGCGGGGUCAUAUUCCGAUGAGCCACACGACAGCGCUCAUUGUCACCACCACGGCCACCACACUCACGGCGGAAGAAACGUCGGGGCCUUGAUGGCGUCUCACUCGCCGUGCUCCAGCGACGCGCUCAUGGAGGACGUAAGUUGCCGCUCGUCCACGACGGGCCGCACCCACGGCGCCCGCCGUCAUCGCCAUCAUGCGGAGGAAAGCUAUGCUGUGUGCGAAGCUGCUACGGCAGUGUCGGUGCAUGUUCCGCCUGAGACGGAUGCUGCUGAGCAUUGGUGGAAAGGCAAUCAGAGCGGACCGCACGCGCGAAGCAACGGACACGAUCUGCUCUUCACCACUGAGGAGCUAGUCGAUGCUGGGCGCAGCCUUACAACACGUGAGCAGCACCAGCACGUGGCGGGUGCGCAGCGGCCGACCGCAAAUGAUGCUAUCCAAACUGUGUCGACGCGACCUCGUGAAGAAAUGGAGGCUAUGAAGUCCUGUGGGGGCGCAGUCGAUGGCGUGCCAGCCGAAGGAGCUUCUGCAACCAUGUCCACCGGUAUCACUGCACCGUCGGCUGCAGCAGCAGAGGCGCGUCGGCGUGCGCCGGCAUCGAGCGCCGCAAACGCCGCGCCACACGAAGAGGAAGAGGAGUCAUUCUGCCGCAUAUGUCGCGAGGGGAGCGACAUCGCGCCGCUCAUCGUACCCUGUGCCUGCACCGGCUCUGUCCGCUUCGUGCAUGCCACGUGUCUUGACCGCUGGCGGAUCGAGAGCGCGAAGCGCAACUUGGCUAACGUCAAUCACUGCGAAAUCUGCAAGGAGCCCUUCCGCGUCAACAUCCAGCGGUCGACGUUGCUGUGGGAGAGCUCGCAGCAGAUUCUGAACGGCGUCUGCUUGUUCCUGGCCUGUUUUAUCAUGAUUGUAACGACGACGACGCUAACACAUGUCGUACUUGGUGAGAUGUCGUGCUCGGCGAGCUACCACCAAGUCGCCUACAGCACCAUGUUCCGCUUCGAGGGGAUCUCGCUGACGUUAUUUGUGUACUGCCUUGCAGUGCUGCUAGUGCUUUUCGCUAACCUCAUCGUCUACAGCUGGUUUCGCAGUCAGCCAGAUGUGGAAGAGUACGUGGAGGAGAUGCACAUCGUUCCUCCCUUCUACACGCGGCGCAACGUACUCCUCAUUGUGCUCGUGUGCCUCGUUCUUCUAGCGCAGGCGCAUGCGAUGGGAUACCUGCUCAAGUACUUCCUGUACAGAACAAGCCAUCUUGUUUGGAAUUGGGAGACGUCCCCGCUGAUGGGUGGCAUCCUCCUCUCUAUCUUUACUAUCGCCACUACCGCCUUCUGCGGCUGGGUGCGGGACAUAUACACGGUGCACGUUGUCGACCGCGACCGUCGUGAUGCGCCGGCGACUGAUGUCGUGAUAGUGCCCAUUGGCGAUGCUGAUCGUGCAGAGACAGCGGCAGAUAACAGCAACGAUGGUACUGCCCCUGCACCGCUGUCUCGGUCCAUCAUUGUGGCAGGCACGGCCGCACCUCCUGCGUCUCUAACAGGAGCGUCCGUCACGGCAGCAUCUCCCCCUCCGCCUCCAUUUCCCUCCCCUGCCACCCCUGGCGUGUCCCCUUCGUCGCCGACGUUACCCACGAUGCUGGACAGCGCAGCGCAGCAGCGUUCAGCAGAUGAGGAUCCGGAAUACACUCGGCACUUCGGGAUACCACCAGACCAGCGUGUCAUUCGCGCCUUUGAGUACUGCCCGCCGCGGCGGAAGGUGCCGCAGAGGUGAGGUGACGACUCGGCGAUGGGCAUCAGAGUGUGUGGGGGCGUGUGGGUCUGUUGCAGGAAGAGGCCAUAGCAGGCGAAGCAGAUGCGGCCUGCGGGGUGGUUGGCUGCGCAUGUAUACCUCUCCCCCCCCCAUACACACACGCCUCUCCUUCGCUUGCCUUCCACUGUGUCUGCGCACGUUGAGAGAAGGAUGCCUCCUGCGAGCACCUCAGCGACCCUUUUGCGGUGCUCCCCUUAAGCCCUCACACCCUCCUCCUCCUCCCUCAGGCCACUCACGUCCGUCACGAUGGCCUUUUUGUAUGCGCUCCUCCGUCUCCCUCUUUUUUGGUUUGUUUGUUUUAUAAGUAUUGCUGUUCUUUGCUUUCUCGCCGUGCGGCUUCGAUGAGGUGGUCGUGGGGGGAGGAGGAAGGAAGAGUGGUGUGUGGGCGUGUGGGUGGGUGUGGUGCAGAUGUAUGUGUGUCUCCCUCUUUCUCUGUUGCUUUCCUUUCUUUUUUUUUUCGGUGCUGCUUCAUUUUACCUUGACGCGUUGUUCUUUUUUGUUGUUGUUGCCUGCGCGCUUCUGUUCGUUUUCUUUUUUUUUUUCAGUGCUUACUCGUUGUCUGCAGAUGAUUCAGGCUUACGCAUCGUGAUGAAGGGAGACGGGACGACAGCGAUACCACUCUCUAUCUACCUCGCUCCAUCUGCCCUCGUGUUUCUUUUUCGUUGAUGCACUGUUAUUUUUGUCUCGUGCGGGGAAGGAGGGGAGGAGGGAGUUGAUGUCUCUGCUGGCGCCUCUGUGCUUCUCUGCCUCCCUCGAUGUGUGUGUGUGUGUGUAUAUGUGCGUCUGUGCUAUCACUUCCUCCUUUGCUGUUGUUCCUCUCUUGCCCCUCGUUGCAUCGAGGCCGUAUCGCGGCUCCGCCCGCGUUGCUGCAGAUCGUUAUUUGUCUCUGUGUUGCUGCUUUUAUUUAUUGUCAUCUCUUCGACUGCGACGGCCCAUCGCUCAACUUCGUUUCACUUGGCGGUCUCUUAUUAUGAACUCAACUGCCAGCAUACGGCGUGAUGGGGAGAUGAAGGUACGCAGUGGUUAAGGAUGCGCUGUAAACAAGAGGUGCUGACGGCCAACUGUGGCUCUCUCUCCUCCGUACCUGCUCUCCGUCCUACGCCAGCAAGUGAGUGCGCGCCGGUCCCUGCGGAGGUUUUUCCGUUAUUGGUUUCUUUUUCGUGUCGGUGUGGAUCCUUUGCUCGCCUUCCUCGGGACAAGCACGUGCCACAAGACCCGACGGAGGGAGGGAGGGACAACGGAGGGCUCCUUCUCACAUUCCUUUGCCCACUGCGAGCGAUAACCGCAUUCCACACGCCCAUGCGCCUUCCAGGCCCACCCCUUCAUGUCUCCACCCGGUGCGACAGGAAACUGGAAGGACGGCUGGCUCCGCGCUCUGGUCCGUGCACAGGCACGGACCUAUGCACACAUGUAUGCUCUUGUAUGGGGUACGCACCCUGUUCCCGCCGUCACGGGUCUCGGUGCAAGCAGAGUG